AAGGGAGACCUAAUUCGGGUAUGGGAUGAAAAAAAAGUAGUCCCAACCAAGAAUCAAUCCCAAAAGGUCGGAGCGAGGCGAAAUUGGCUUUCAAACUAGGUUCUGGGUUCGCAGAAGACCUGAAUCAGGAACAAGGGCUAUUAGCUCAGGUGGUUAGAGCGCACCCCUGAUAAGGGUGAGGUCCCUGGUUCGAGUCCAGGAUGGCCCACCUGCACAGGUGGUAAAAACAAGAGAAGCGAGGAAUCAGCACCUUAUCUUACUUACAUAGUAAGAGAGAAUGCUGGCUCUGAGUAAAGAGUCCAGAGGAACCUUGAAAACUGCAUAGAGCUAGGUGAAAAAGCCAAAAAAGAAGACCGCAA
Molecule: transfer RNA, 359 nt
Filed under: Microcystis aeruginosa MP04A8
Lineage: Bacteria; Bacillati; Cyanobacteriota; Cyanophyceae; Chroococcales; Microcystaceae
Description: partial 16S-23S ribosomal RNA intergenic spacer
Rfam family: tRNA (bases 135-208)
Source: RNAcentral